GAGAAGCUCCUGACAAAGGGGAAUCUUGUCAGAGUGGUUCCUCUCAGUGGAAUAUAAAACAAAUCAUACAAGAGCAUUAAACAGACCUUUGAGACACAGGGAGCAGGAGUUAUCUGUAGGUAAUGCUGUCUGAACUAAUCAAAGACAUAUAGUGAAAGGGAUGAAAGAAGGAUGGUUCCUCCUAAAGUACAUAUCUGAAAUAGAGCAGUGUUGGCACCACGAGCAAAGCCCCAUUUCCCUCCAGAUUCUGGAACAGAGCCCAUAAAAUGUGUGCUGCAGCUGUAGCAGAGCUCCUGAGAGACGAAUGGCAUCUCAGAGCAUAACUCCAUGCAGCAGCACUGCCGGGAAAGCAAGUUCAAAGGCAUCCAGCUCUCUCCAGAGAAUACAGCUAUGUGAGACCCUGCUGGAUAGAUGACUGGGUACCUGUUUUAGCACCAAAGUAUUAUAAAGAGCUUGUUCUGCCUCCAGGCAGUAAUUUGCUGAAGCACACAAGACACAUUUCCCAUUGGCAGGAUGAAAAGAAAAC
This is a long non-coding RNA of Neopelma chrysocephalum (saffron-crested tyrant-manakin), 526 nucleotides long. RefSeq lists it as uncharacterized. NCBI's taxonomy places the organism in Eukaryota, Metazoa, Chordata, Aves, Passeriformes, Pipridae. The record is from RefSeq and is a predicted model, not a curated record. The transcript has 3 exons.